This is a long non-coding RNA of Panicum virgatum (switchgrass), 1716 nucleotides long. RefSeq lists it as uncharacterized. NCBI's taxonomy places the organism in Eukaryota, Viridiplantae, Streptophyta, Magnoliopsida, Poales, Poaceae. The transcript has 2 exons. The record is from RefSeq and is a predicted model, not a curated record.
ACAAUACGAUUCACGCACCAAAAGACGGGCGGCGGAUCGGGCCACGUCACCCGCUAAUCCUCUAGCCGUCGGAUCCAGCCAAGACACAAUACGAGCCGUCCGAUCGGGGUCAUAGCAGGUCUCUCACCCGUUAAGCUACCAAUCCGGAUGGUGGCGAACCCGCUCGCGGGUGACUCGGCCUCUCCACCGCCGCCUCCCUUCCUCCGGGCGCGGAUGGGGGUAGCGGCCCGGGUUGCGGGCGCCAUGAGCGCGGUGUUCAUGGCCAUCCCGGCAGCCCAGCACUGGUGGGGUGCCGGCGGCCUCGGCGACCCCAGCGCAGGCGGGAUUGUGGGCGCGGCGGCCUCGGCAGCUCCAAUCCCGGAUAUCUAGGCGCGGGUGAGGACUCCAUCGGCCCCUGCGACCCUAGCGCGGCCGGUGAUGCGGGCGUGGCGGCUCCGGCCACCUCGCCGCUGGCGGCCCGGUGCUGGUGUACCUCUCCCCCACGUGCCUCCUCACCAGCCCGCCCCGUGCGCUGCCGCCUAUGUCGCGCGUCAGGGGACACCAUGAGGUCAUGAUGCCGCGGCUAGAAAAUGUGGCCGCGGCCAGGUCCGCGCGCGGGCUCCUCCUUUGCAGCGGCGACCUCAAGGAACAACACUGGCAUGGUGCCUGGCUGCCUGUGUCAAACAUGCGCAUUGCGCUGCAGCAACAGAAGGAGCAGCUGCAAGACGACGUAUGCUCAAGAGCCGCACAUAACGUGGUCGACAGAAUUCCACUUCUGCUAAAUGCUUGUGAGGAUCAUUUGUUCACUUUGUGGUUUAGCCAUCAUGGUUUUUAGCUGAAUUAAGUCUUCAUAAAGUAUUUGGUAAUAAAUUUUGGGUAUCGGUGCAAUAAGCCCACGUAAGUGACACAAGACGACCGUGAAUCGGUGAUCUUUUACACUGCAUGCUGCUGAGGACUUACUAUCUCUUCCCAUAGAUCAAACAAUACUAUAUGGUUUAACUUCGGUAAGGAGGAGCUACUGCAUCAGCUACAAGUGCAAAGCAAUGGCAUUAAUUCAAGACCAUUUGUACUGAAGCUUAUAGAUCGCAGGGGGCUAUGCCUGACACCUGCUGGGCUAGAAUCAAAGUUGGCAACUCGCAAAUAUUACAGUCGGGAAGAACGAUAAGUGACUUCAUUCCUCCACACGGGCAAGAACUGCUGCCUGUAACAUUGUAUUUAGUUAUUCGUCACCAUUGCAACUUGCAAGGUACACGACAGCAACACGAGGUGAAGACGAGGGCUCAAUUUCUGGACACUGGCGACGUGAUGCUCUAUGAGGCUGUGCAUUAUGAAGAGAACUCACUCCGCUAAAUAUCCAAGAAAUCUGCUAAAAUUAAAUGAAUUAUGUGGCAAGCUAUUCCACCAUUCAAAUUGCUUGGUGAUGUUUAUCUUCUUUUUAAAAACCUAUCACUUGAUAUUAUCAGCUGAUGUUACCAUAGAGCCAGCUGAUUAUCAUAGAGCCAGCUGCAGAUCUUGCCGACGAAAGCCGUCCUCCACUAUCCAGAUUAUUCCUGUGUAGUUACACUAUUACAUAGUACCUGUUUUUUGUAUUUCUUUUUGCUUCCCUUUACUUUGCUGUCUUGGUGCCUGUUAGCUUCCUGUAACAACAAUGCAUAGUGGCCUGAAAAUUUGUUUUCCUAUGUAGUUACAUGGCAUGGAAACAGAUGAAACAAUCCCAAGCAUCGCAUAUUUAUCAAA